UUGAAUAAAAUGUGCUUUAUUAGAAAUGCAAGACAAAUCCUCCUUCAUCCCCCCCCAUACAUUACAAACAAAUCAAAAGAGAGUCAGUAACCAGACUUAAAGGACACCCCACUGCCCAAAUGGCCAAACAAGUAUAAAUCACUGUUUAGUAGAUAUACCACCAAUGAAUAUGUGAUGGUCGUUACCAUCACCAGGAGCUUAAAAUGGACAAUUCAACUAGGUCUCUGGAUGACUCCUAUGUUUAAGUCACUUUACUCCCAACUGGGAAGGAGAGCUGCAGAAGAAUAGGCAACGGGGACUAUUCCUGCCUGGAAGGAGAGAGCUCCAGAGAGACCCCAGUGAAGCUUCAGUGAUAGGUGCUGAAGCGUUCCAGGUUCCAGGAUCCCGGCAAGCGGCUACAAAGCAGACUGGGCGGAGGUACUUGUUCAGAGCACUAGAGUUCUGCUACAGAAUACAUGCAUGAUUUUCUGAAUUGGUGCACUUAUGCUCAUGCUGGCCCGUGCAUGCACUCACGUAUGAUCUGAGGUCAGUGUGGGAGGAGGCAGGCACGCUCAAGUAAUGUGCACCUGCCACUUCCAUUAGCUCACGGUAUGGAAGGAGGCAGAAAACCUUCCAAUCUGUUUGAUUGACAGUCAGUGGGGCGUUCCAUAGUUUAUUCAUAAAAGUGAUGAUUUCUCAUGGAAAUCAGUACUUUCAUAAACUGGGGUUAAAAUAGGAUACUCCUAAUUUAUUAAGUACUUUUGGUUUGUGGAGUGGUCCUUUAAAUGAAAAACAAACAAUUUAUAUAAUUAAAUCUUAUGAAAUGUCAACAUUUUAGUCCAGUACACCUGGCCAUUUCACAAGACAAAUAUAUAUAUAUAUA
Non-coding RNA from Pelobates cultripes (western spadefoot toad), 862 nucleotides. NCBI's taxonomy places the organism in Eukaryota, Metazoa, Chordata, Amphibia, Anura, Pelobatidae. The record is from the annotation of a GenBank genome assembly.